Trematomus bernacchii (emerald rockcod) is the source of this 681-nucleotide long non-coding RNA. RefSeq lists it as uncharacterized. The record is from RefSeq and is a predicted model, not a curated record. The transcript has 3 exons. NCBI's taxonomy places the organism in Eukaryota, Metazoa, Chordata, Actinopteri, Perciformes, Nototheniidae.
UCUAUCCACUUUACGCAUGCGUCAGCGUUGCAUGAAUCUUCCAUACAUUGACUUUUAUCCCUUUUUAAUGCACAGUUUUGCUGCAGAACUACUAGAUUAUAGUUUACUACGUUGUUUACAUGUGAUGCGUUCAGCAGCUGAGCCUCUCUGCAGGGAAAGAGUCACUCUGCAGGAAACACCCCGGAAGUCUCAUCGUGCAGAGAAGCAGCAUGGCACCGGUGUGGAAUAACUUGUUGACGUUUUCCCUUCUCUACAAACAACCUGCGCAUUCUGCUAUCCCGUCAACAUUGAUGAGUGCAGAGUUUCUGGAACACAUCUGAGGACGGCCGGGUUUCUUCACUUCUUCUCUUCUUCCUCCACUCGUGGAUGGAUGAUUAGAGACUUUGGGGGAAACCUCAGAUUUAUGAACGUUCUGUCUGUUGGUUUGGCCAGAGAGGGCUGAGGGUCUUUCCCUGCGAGGAGGACCAGGCCUGAGGGAGGAGGACCUGCACCAGCUGCACCUACAGAACUUAGCCCAUGCUGGGCAUAGCUGUUACCACCUGCACAGGCCUAGCCUGUCACUUUAUUUGACAAAAUGUGUUUACUUAAUUAACAUCAAGGUGUAACUUAUGUAUAUUAUUUCGUUUUUAUUUUAAAAAACUGUGAUGGUUCAUGCUUGAUAACUUUCAGUUCACAUUUCAA